CUUUACUGCAACUUGACGUUGGAACUUGGCUGUAUUUGUGUAGGAUAGGUGGGAGACUUUGAAGCAGGGCCGCCAGGUCUUGCGGAGUCGUCGUUGAAAUACCACCCUGGUGCUGACGAGUUUCUAACCGUGUCCGUAAGCCGGACAUGAGACAGCGUCUGGUGGGCAGUUUGACUGGGGCGGCCGCCUCCUAAAAGGUACGGAGGCAUUCAAAGGCCCCCUCAGCGUGGUCGGUAAUCACGCGCAGAGUGCAAACGCAUAAGGGGGCUUAACUGCGAGACCGACAGGUCGAGCAGGUACGAAAGUAGGAGUUAGUGAUCCCGCGGUUUAGCGUGGAAUUGCCGUUGCUCAAUGGAUAAAAGGUA
Molecule: ribosomal RNA, 365 nt
Filed under: uncultured organism
Description: bacterial LSU rRNA
Rfam family: Bacterial large subunit ribosomal RNA
Source: RNAcentral